Molecule: long non-coding RNA, 612 nt
Filed under: Olea europaea subsp. europaea
Lineage: Eukaryota; Viridiplantae; Streptophyta; Magnoliopsida; Lamiales; Oleaceae
Source: RNAcentral
AGAAAAGAUGCGAAAAAGGACUAAAAUGACGCGAAGUGAAAGUUCAAAGACCAAGGUGCAAUUAUCCAAAAGUUGACCCGAUGAACAAAUCGAGAAAUUGAUUAAGCUAAUUGCCAAUUGACAAUAUCUUGGGAUGAUAGAAUGGAAAGAAUGAAGAAAAGAUGCCAAGAAGUGAAGGAUUUAAGUAGAAGGACCAAAAUGAACAUCUUUCAUAGUUGGUAGCACUAUACCCUCUAUGCGGUCGCAUAGAGGCAAACCAAAACAUAAUUGCCACAAAAUUUUUUACUCUAUGCGACCGCAUAGAGAUGCUCUAUGUCGCAUAGAGCAAUUCUAGGGCAAAAUCGCAGUCUCUUUUUUCCAUUGAAACUCUUAUGGAAACAAUAUUUUUAGGGUCCUAUAUAAACAAAAACUCGACCAGAACGAUAGGGACGCCGUUUUUACAAGUUUUUGAGAGAUUUUGAAGGAGAAAUGAAGAGAAAACAAGAGGAAAACAUCGCUCCAAGUGAAGAUUCGAUUGAAACUUGAUUCGGGUGAUAACGUUUCUUCAACUAUUUUUGUGUUUUCUUCUUUUUAGCAUGUUAGGCUAGAUUUUUCAUUGCUAGAAGAUUGAUG